This 253-nucleotide ribosomal RNA is filed under the name uncultured bacterium. RNAcentral describes it as "partial 16S ribosomal RNA". It matches the Rfam family "Bacterial small subunit ribosomal RNA", at positions 524 to 776 of the family's 1533-position model. The record is from RNAcentral.
UACGAAGGGGGCUAGCGUUGCUCGGAAUCACUGGGCGUAAAGCGCACGUAGGCGGCUUCUCAAGUCAGGGGUGAAAUCCUGGAGCUCAACUCCAGAACUGCCUUUGAUACUGAGAGGCUCGAGUCCGGGAGAGGUGAGUGGAACUGCGAGUGUAGAGGUGAAAUUCGUAGAUAUUCGCAAGAACACCAGUGGCGAAGGCGGCUCACUGGCCCGUUACUGACGCUGAGGUGCGAAAGCGUGGGGAGCAAACAGG